This 989-nucleotide ribosomal RNA is filed under the name human oral metagenome. RNAcentral's name for it is "bacterial LSU rRNA". It matches the Rfam family "Bacterial large subunit ribosomal RNA", at positions 1942 to 2925 of the family's 2925-position model. The record is from RNAcentral.
AUAACGGUCCUAAGGUAGCGAAAUUCCUUGUCGGGUAAGUUCCGACCCGCACGAAUGGCGUAACGAUGGCCACACUGUCUCCUCCCGAGACUCAGCGAAGUUGAAGUGGUUGUGAAGAUGCAAUCUACCCGCUGCUAGACGGAAAGACCCCGUGAACCUUUACUGUAGCUUUGCAUUGGACUUUGAAGUCACUUGUGUAGGAUAGGUGGGAGGCUUAGAAGCAGAGACGCCAGUCUCUGUGGAGCCGUCCUUGAAAUACCACCCUGGUGUCUUUGAGGUUCUAACCCAGACCCGUAAUCCGGGUCGGGGACCGUGCAUGGUAGGCAGUUUGACUGGGGCGGUCUCCUCCCAAAGAGUAACGGAGGAGUUCGAAGGUUACCUAGGUCCGGUCGGAAAUCGGACUGAUAGUGCAAUGGCAAAAGGUAGCUUAACUGCGAGACCGACAAGUCGAGCAGGUGCGAAAGCAGGACAUAGUGAUCCGGUGGUUCUGUAUGGAAGGGCCAUCGCUCAACGGAUAAAAGGUACUCCGGGGAUAACAGGCUGAUUCCGCCCAAGAGUUCAUAUCGACGGCGGAGUUUGGCACCUCGAUGUCGGCUCAUCACAUCCUGGGGCUGUAGUCGGUCCCAAGGGUAUGGCUGUUCGCCAUUUAAAGUGGUACGUGAGCUGGGUUUAAAACGUCGUGAGACAGUUUGGUCCCUAUCUGCUGUGGGCGUUGGAGAUUUGACGGGGGCUGCUCCUAGUACGAGAGGACCGGAGUGGACACACCUCUGGUGUACCUGUUGUCACGCCAGUGGCAUCGCAGGGUAGCUAAGUGUGGAAGAGAUAACCGCUGAAAGCAUCUAAGCGGGAAACUUGCCUGAAGAUGAGAUCUCCCUGGGGACUCGAUCCCCCUGAAGGGUCGUCCAAGACCAGGACGUUGAUAGGCCGGGUGUGGAAGCGCAGUAAUGCGUGCAGCUAACCGGUACUAAUUGCCCGUGAGGCUUGACCCU